GACAGAGGGUGCAAACGUUGUUCGGAUUUACUGGGCGUAAAGCGCGUGUAGGCGGCUUGGCACGUCGGGUGUGAAAGCCCACGGCUCAACCGUGGAAGCGCAUCCGAAACUGCUUCGCUCGAGUCUCGGAGAGGAAGGUGGAAUGCUUGGUGUAGAGGUGAAAUUCGUAGAUAUCAAGCAGAACACCUGCGGCGAAGGCGGCCUUCUGGACGAUGACUGACGCUGAGACGCGAAAGCGUGGGGAGCAAACAGG
RNAcentral lists this ribosomal RNA (253 nucleotides) under uncultured bacterium. Its description in RNAcentral is "partial 16S ribosomal RNA". It matches the Rfam family "Bacterial small subunit ribosomal RNA", at positions 524 to 776 of the family's 1533-position model. The record is from RNAcentral.